This 363-nucleotide ribosomal RNA is filed under the name uncultured Providencia sp. Its description in RNAcentral is "bacterial SSU rRNA". It matches the Rfam family "Bacterial small subunit ribosomal RNA", at positions 1029 to 1392 of the family's 1533-position model. Lineage: Bacteria; Pseudomonadati; Pseudomonadota; Gammaproteobacteria; Enterobacterales; Morganellaceae. The record is from RNAcentral.
AUUAGACAGGUGCUGCAUGGCUGUCGUCAGCUCGUGUUGUGAAAUGUUGGGUUAAGUCCCGCAACGAGCGCAACCCUUAUCCUUUGUUGCCAGCGAUUCGGUCGGGAACUCAAAGGAGACUGCCGGUGAUAAACCGGAGGAAGGUGGGGAUGACGUCAAGUCAUCAUGGCCCUUACGAGUAGGGCUACACACGUGCUACAAUGGCGUAUACAAAGAGAAGCGACCUCGCGAGAGCAAGCGGAACUCAUAAAGUACGUCGUAGUCCGGAUUGGAGUCUGCAACUCGACUCCAUGAAGUCGGAAUCGCUAGUAAUCGUAGAUCAGAAUGCUACGGUGAAUACGUUCCCGGGUCUUGUACACACCG